AUUUGUCUACUGCGAACCGAGAAGUUGACCACGGCGAGAGGGAGCUGAAAGAAAUGAAUGUAGUCCUGAGAAUUUCUGAUGGCGAAUGUGGAAUGCAAGGCCAAACCCUGCACAGGAAUCCUGGUGUGCUUUAAAGGCAAAUCUGUAACCGGGAUGUUAGCCAGCCAGUGGGUGCAGACUAUUUCAGCACCGAGCUCAAAUGCCACAGCUUGUUGUGGAGCCCUCCUGUCAAACGUUCCCCUUCUCUCCUACACCCCUCCUCCUAAUACCGACACUUACUGUA
This is a long non-coding RNA of Tachysurus vachellii, 283 nucleotides long. RefSeq lists it as uncharacterized. The record is from RefSeq and is a predicted model, not a curated record. The transcript is spliced from 3 exons. NCBI's taxonomy places the organism in Eukaryota, Metazoa, Chordata, Actinopteri, Siluriformes, Bagridae.